Molecule: ribosomal RNA, 338 nt
Filed under: uncultured Levilinea sp.
Lineage: Bacteria; Bacillati; Chloroflexota; Anaerolineae; Anaerolineales; Anaerolineaceae
Description: bacterial SSU rRNA
Rfam family: Bacterial small subunit ribosomal RNA
Source: RNAcentral
UAGCACAGGUGCUGCAUGGCUGUCGUCAGCUCGUGUCGUGAGAUGUUCGGUUAAGUCCGCUAACGAGCGCAACCCUUGCUGUGUGUUACAUGUGUCACACGGGACUGCCGGUCUUAAACCGGAGGAAGGUGGGGAUGACGUCAAGUCAGCAUGGCCUUUAUGUCCUGGGCUACACACACGCUACAAUGGCCGGUACAAUAGGUUGCGAAGCCGCGAGGCGGAGCCAAUCCUCAAAGCCGGCCUCAGUUCAGAUUGCAGGCUGCAACCCGCCUGCAUGAAGAUGGAGUUGCUAGUAACCGCAGGUCAGCUAUACUGCGGUGAAUACGUUCCCGGGGCUU